CGAUCUGAUUGGUUGCUAUUGGCAACUGGGCAACAUUGCAUCUCUACAUGUUUUGAUAAAUCUCCCCCACAGGCUCUAAGAAGGAGAGGAGCAGAAAAAUGCGUUGUUAAGGAUUUGAAGAGAGGUUUGCCCAGCUUAGUCACCUCAUUUCUAAAUGUCGCAAUCGUCGCGGACAUGUUGGUCACCUGUAUGACGAACUAAGGAGGUAUCUGGAUUAAAAUGUAAAAGUAAAAAAAAAAUGUAUGCAUACCAAUGGAGGCCUUUGACCAGCUAUUUGAGAUUUUGGAGGAUCACCUUCAACGCCAAGAUACCAACAUGUAUCAAGCCAUUUCUCCAAUAGUAUGCCUGAUUAUCACAUUGUGGCUCUAUUACAUAUGUUUUGUCUUGUUGCUAUUGGAAUCAUUCUUGUUCUGGCUUUUUUUUUUUUUUUUUUUAAUUGUUCGGCUUUUGUUUAUUUCUGUUUUUUUUUAUGUCACACAUUUUAUGUAUGUUUGAACCCGACAGCGUGUGGCUCGCCAAUGCUGCCUAGCAAUGGCUCCUUCCCAUGCUAUUGUUCAAAAUAUAGUAAUAAUUUUACAAUGUUCGUACCUUGUGCAACUUUAUAUAUUUCAUGCACAAGGUACACAGCAUGCCCCAGGAUGGCUAGCAUCUAGCAUAUCUGAAUGAAACUAUGCCCUGGUGUUGUUUAUGGAGUAUCCCCAAAAACCUGUGUUUUAAUCAUUUAUUUAUUAUGGCAGUCAUAUGUCAUUUACCCAUAUACAGAUGCUCUGAAUGUUAAUGUUGUGUAGAAAAUCAACAUUUUUGUCUUUAUUCCUAUCAUGUUAUAUUUAUAUUUGUCUGAAAUGUUGAAAUGCUUUAU
This is a long non-coding RNA of Hyla sarda, 859 nucleotides long. RefSeq lists it as uncharacterized. The record is from RefSeq and is a predicted model, not a curated record. The transcript is spliced from 3 exons. NCBI's taxonomy places the organism in Eukaryota, Metazoa, Chordata, Amphibia, Anura, Hylidae.